UGGGGAAUCUUGCGCAAUGGGCGAAAGCCUGACGCAGCAACGCCGCGUGCGGGAAGAAGGCCCUCGGGUUGUAAACCGCUUUCAGUAGGAACGAAAAUGACGGUACCUGCAGAAGAAGGUGCGGCCAACUACGUGCCAGCAGCCGCGGUGACACGUAGGCACCAAGCGUUGUCCGGAUUUAUUGGGCGUAAAGAGCUCGUAGGCGGUUCGGUAAGUCGGGUGUGAAAACUUUGGGCUUAACCCAAAGCCUGCAUCCGAUACUGCUGUGACUAGAGUUCGGUAGGGGAGCGGGGAAUUCCUAGUGUAGCGGUGAAAUGCGCAGAUAUUAGGAGGAACACCGGUGGCGAAGGCGCCGCUCUGGGCCGAUACUGACGCUGAGGAGCGAAAGCGUGGGUAGCAAACA
RNAcentral lists this ribosomal RNA (403 nucleotides) under uncultured bacterium. RNAcentral describes it as "bacterial SSU rRNA". It matches the Rfam family "Bacterial small subunit ribosomal RNA", at positions 355 to 774 of the family's 1533-position model. The record is from RNAcentral.